UUGUUCCUACGGGACGCAGCAGUGGGGAAUAUUGGACAAUGGGGGGAACCCUGAUCCAGCGACGCCGCGUGAGUGAAGAAGUAUUUCGGUAUGUAAAGCUCUAUCAGCAGGGAAGAAAAUGACGGUACCUGACUAAGAAGCCCCGGCUAACUACGUGCCAGCAGCCGCGGUAAUACGUAGGGGGCAAACGUUAUCCGGAUUUACUGGGUGUAAAGGGAGCGUAGACGGUGCAGCAAGUCUGAUGUGAAAGGUCGGGGCCCAACCCCGGGACUGCAUUGGAAACUGUUGAACUGGAGUACAGGCGG
RNAcentral lists this ribosomal RNA (305 nucleotides) under uncultured bacterium. RNAcentral's name for it is "bacterial SSU rRNA". It matches the Rfam family "Bacterial small subunit ribosomal RNA", at positions 333 to 655 of the family's 1533-position model. The record is from RNAcentral.